AGAGUGUCCCAUGACGUACACUUGAAUAUGAGAAGAUAUUUAAAAAUUUCUUCUCAUAUUCAAGUGCACGUCAUGGGACACUCUGCCAGUAA
This 92-nucleotide microRNA precursor is filed under the name Paramuricea clavata. Lineage: Eukaryota; Metazoa; Cnidaria; Anthozoa; Malacalcyonacea; Plexauridae. The record is from RNAcentral.